GAAGAUCCAAGAGAGAGAAGAAGCCAUCUAGCUACCAACUACGGACCCGUAGGUCUGAAGUGAACUACUCACGAGUCAUUGGAGGGGCGAUGAUGAUGAUGAAGAAGCCCUCCAACUCCAAAGUCCCCUCCAGCAGGGUGCCGGGAAGGGUCUCUAGAUGAGAUCUCGCGGAAACGGAAGCUUGCGGCGGCGGAAAAGUAUUUUCGAGGCUCCCCUGAUUUUUUGCGGAAUAUUUGGGAAUUUAUAGGCCAAAGACCU
Molecule: long non-coding RNA, 258 nt
Filed under: Hordeum vulgare
Lineage: Eukaryota; Viridiplantae; Streptophyta; Magnoliopsida; Poales; Poaceae
Description: long non-coding RNA (HVUL_LNC012815)
Source: RNAcentral